RNAcentral lists this long non-coding RNA (1135 nucleotides) under Sus scrofa (pig). RNAcentral describes it as "lncRNA (ENSSSCG00025001638.1)". The record is from RNAcentral. Lineage: Eukaryota; Metazoa; Chordata; Mammalia; Artiodactyla; Suidae.
UGGUUCUAUUUUUUUUAGCUAGCCAAUUAACCAGGAUAACAACUUUGACUUGCAAGUAGAUUUCUUCCGAAGAAUGCAAACAAAGCCACCAUCUCUUUAAAAACAGCUGUGGGGCAGGAGGCUCUAGGUUUUGAUGGGCCAGAUCUUGCAUUUAUUUUGCCCUGUAUUGACUGUUAGCCCUCCUCUCUCUCUCCAUCCCCGCCUCCCACUUUCCAGCUUACCUUGGGUGAGGCGUGCGGGAGCUGCUGCCAGGUCUUCUGGAAAGUUCAUAGAAGACUAUGCUGCACAAACAAAGCAAGCCAGAAACAAGAAUACUGUCACCUCACUUUCUUUGCUUUGUUCUCAGUGGGAAAAUACAGCUAAGUCUCAGUCUCUGGAAACUUCUGAGCUAAAUCUUGGUGUCAGCUCUGGAAUGAAAGUUACUCCCAGUGAAUUUUGGAAAAGGGAGAGCCCAGGCCUGCAUCAAUGCGACAAAAGUUAAAUCAUGGAUGAUGAUGAAAACCAAGCAAGGCACUAAGGGAAAGCAAAACUGGAUUCUACUUCCUCUUUCUGAAACAUUUUAAAAUUUGGACUACGUGGCAACCUGCAUUUGUGGGAAAAUGCUACCUGCAUUGGAUGCAGACAGAGCUCAUGGAGACAGAAGUACUGAAGGGCAGCAGAUGUGUUUGAUGGAGCCAGAUGUAUUAAAAACAGUCAGAUGCACAUAUAUCUUCCUCUCACAUGAGAGGAAGAAGUGACGGUUGAAAGUAAAUAUACAUAUAAAUGUGGGUGGUGACCAAGAUGACAACAAAUUGGAGGUAUUGACUACUGUCUUUUUAUGUUUUUAUAUUAAUGCCCUAGGUCCCUCUUCUAUGCUUCCCUACUAAUAUUAGCUGUAAAUCUUUAAUUCCUUUGUUUAGCUUAAUUUAUUAUUUUAUGUUAAGAAAUACCAUUUUAUAAUUAUUCAUAAAAUUAGAAAUUUAAUUUUCAAUCGCAAUCCGAUCUGUUCUUAUACCAAAUCAGAAAAUAUUAAGAGCAAGGGAAAAACCUGUUGGGACCAUGUUUUCAUUCUGGUCUGUGUCUUUGUUCCCUCUUUGCUGAAGUGAAGAUCUGAUCAAUUUUCACACACAUUAAGUAAUGCAGGGAGGAAGAAGAG